Podarcis lilfordi (Lilford's wall lizard) is the source of this 74-nucleotide non-coding RNA. The record is from the annotation of a GenBank genome assembly. Lineage: Eukaryota; Metazoa; Chordata; Lepidosauria; Squamata; Lacertidae.
GCCCUCAACAGCUCCGUCGGUGGAGCCUGAGGCUCUUAACUGCAGAAUCGUGGGUUCGAGUCCCACGGUGGGCA